GAAGGAGGGCGGGAGGGAGGGAGAGUACCCGGCUGCCUUCAGCCUUCAGUUUGGUGUUCGGUGUUGCUAGGCGCGAGGGCCACUGUCAGUAGUGUCAGUGCCAAGGCGGCAACCGGCAAACGGCAACCGGCAACCGGCAACCGGCAACCGGCAACCUUCUCUCGAUCGCGAAAAUUCAGCCAAGUUCUCGCCAUCCGAAUCUGCCGAAUGUCGCCCAUUCUUUCUUCCUAUCCUCCAUUAUCUCUAUCUAUCUCCGAUGGAUUUUCGAAAAAACGAGCACCGCCUGUGCUUGUCGAAUCCGCCGUUCGUUCGUUCGUUCGGCUACGUCCGCGACGUCCGCGUGCGAAAGGGAACUGACGGCUGAGAACGCAGAGACACGCGAAAAUCACGGGAUCUCCCUCGGGUUGAUGACGAUUAUUGAAUCGAUCUGAUGAUUGGAAAUAACAUUAAUACAAAUUCGAAAGAUAUGGAGAAGUAUAAACAGUGAAGGUGGGUACAUUCUUUUCUCCUCUCUCGAUAAGGAGUGGCAUGAGUUGGUUGGGGAGGGUGGGCCGCCCUUUUUCGAGGAGAGAGGAGGCAUCUCGUUGGAAAAUUUACGCCGACGACGCGCGACGGAUGGACCGUAAAGGUCGCCGUUGCUGGUUGUCUCCUCUCUUCGGCGCCGUCGCCACCGGUUUGCCCUCCUUCGUAAAGGUUGCCAGCUGAGAGCAACGUCAGCAAUGAGAGCAGAUCGUAGUGUUGUCGCAGUUUGCCCUGGGGUUAGUUAUGUGUUCUUCUAUAACCGCGAAACGUGGAUUCUUUGAAAGGGAGAAAGUUUUCAAUGGCAGAGUAUUUAUAGCAGUGAAAUUUUUUAAUAGAAAUUGUGAAGGAGAUAUGAGAUAAAGAGGACGAAAUCAGCUGGAGAAUGCGUGGGUAGAAGAAAGAAGAUGCGAACACAUGUCGUCAAUGUUCUUCCUAAUUCUGUUCUUUUAAUGCGAGACUUCAGAUCAGAUUUAUUUUAGAUCGACUAGCGAUGAAGGAUGGAUUAAUCGGCGAAUUACUCGCGUGAGUAAUUACUGAAAUAUUUUCUCGCAGUGAAACGUGAUAAUUCCUGAAAAUUUAUAAUUUGUAUUUUUAGAUUGUUUAGUUUUUCAAUAAAGAUUUCAAUAAAGAAAUUUUUCUUUGAACAACUCGAA
Molecule: long non-coding RNA, 1175 nt
Organism: Monomorium pharaonis (pharaoh ant)
Lineage: Eukaryota; Metazoa; Arthropoda; Insecta; Hymenoptera; Formicidae
Exons: 3
Source: RefSeq, a predicted model, not a curated record